GGAGGAGGUGUAGGGAGGAGGUGUACCACCCAGCUAACAGUCCAGCUUUAAGGAGGAGGUGUAGGGAGGAGGUGUACCACCCAGCUAACAGUCCAGCUGUAGGGAGGAGGUGUAGGGAGGAGGUGUAGGGAGGAGGUGUACCACCCAGCUAACAGUCCAGCUAUAGGGAGGAGGUGUAGGGAGGAGGUGUAGGGAGGAGGGGUAGGGAGGAGGUGUACCACCCAGCUAACAGUCCAGCUAUAGGGAGGAGCUGUAGGGAGGAGGUGUAGGGAGGAGCUGUAGGGAGGAGGUGUACCACCCAGCUAACAGUCCAGCUAUAGGGAGGAGGUGUAGGGAGGAGGUGUAGGGAGGAGGAGUACCACCCAGCUAACAGUCCAGCUAUAGGGAGGAGGUGUAGGGAGGAGGUGUACCACCCAGCUAACAGUCCAGCUAUAGGGAGGAGGUGUAGGGAGGAGGUGUAGGGAGGAGGUGUACCACACAGCUAACAGUCCAGCUAUAGGGAGGAGGUGUAGGGAGGAGGUGUAGGGAGG
Oncorhynchus tshawytscha (Chinook salmon) is the source of this 530-nucleotide long non-coding RNA. The record is from Ensembl. Lineage: Eukaryota; Metazoa; Chordata; Actinopteri; Salmoniformes; Salmonidae.